UAUGCGCAUGAUGCGCAUGCGCAGAUGUUAAUUCCGCCUCGCGAAAACAUUCAAAACAAAAACACUCGAAACGAAAAUAAAAUAUUCACCACCACCUGGUUUGCCAACAUCGUCUUUACAAGGAAUGUCCAGCAGUGCAUGACAGAGGCCGGUCACUCCCAUUAAGUCCAGCUGAAGAGCCUUCCCAGUUCAUAGGACAAAAUGCAGUUACACAGAUUUUAACGGUGUUGGAAACAAUGAGAGACGAGAACAGGGAAAUGAAGUGGAUGCUGCAGCGGCUCUUGGCUAGGUCAGCUUCUGAUGACGAGCCAAUGCAACUGCCAGAGAACAUCAGUCUACCAAUUGGAACACUUGAGCAAAUGGAUGAGUUUGAAGAGCAUCUUGGUGAUGAAGCUACGAUCCAUCUUUUCUAGGACUGCUGCAUAGUUCAAGCUUUUUUAUCAAAUAUAUUAAGCAAUGUUGUAAAUGUAUUUGACAGUUCUUUCUCCAUUGAUCCUAAACCAUUCCUUUAAGGCUCAUCUUCUAAGAAAGCAUACAAUAUUUUUUAUCUGGAAAUGAAAUGGUAUAUAUUCCUUUGCAAAAGAAGAAACAGCAUUCCCGUUUUUGAAGGUUUUAAAAGACAUAUAUAUAUAUAUAUAUCAUGUGCAAUUAUGAAAUACACUAGAAUGUAUGAAGAUAUCAAAGAUAAUAAUAUGGACUUGUUCUCGAACAAGGAUUUGCCAUUUAUUUGAGUUUUGGAUUUUUUGCAGGGUUUUUAAUUUCUAGUUUUUAUUUAAUGCUUUCAGGUGGUUUAUAGAGAAAUAUCAGUGAAUUAAAACUGGUUCAAACAGUGAAAAUUAUCAGUGAGAAUUAUCGAUACCGGUAAUUUUCAUUGUUUACUGUGAAAUGAUGUCAUUUUUUUGACGAAAUGACGUCAUUAUCCCAGCAAAAUUCUUUAGUUAAACUCUUUAACAAUGUAUAUAAACGGUGAAAAAUGCAUUAAAUAAAAAGAAAAUUUAUUGGAUUCGGUGGAUUAUCGAUUUUAAUUAACUCGUGUUCAUAGAGAAUAUAUAUUUUCUAUGAUCACUCGUGAAUUAAAAUCGAUAAUCCACUGGAUCCAACAAAUAUCCUCUAUAUAAAAUAUUUUGUUUAGUCUUGCAAGUAUGUUUUCUACAAAUGUUCUUUGAGUACAUGGUGUAUUAUUUGUAUUGAUUAAAGAUUUUAUUUGCUUUUGAGUAAUGUGUAGUACAUCAGGAAAAUACUUGAAGGUAUUCUGUAUAUGUAAUAUAUAUUUAUUAUCAAAAUAAUAGAAGUCCUUAAUUCUAUAGUUGUAUAACUGGUCAACAUAUAUAAUGUUAUAGAAAGACGUCUUAUUGUUUGAAGUUAUGUCUUUAUUGUUCCAUGAAAUAGUUUUACUGUUGGUUUGGGUUUAUAGAUUAUGAGUUUCAUUACUCCAUGCGGAUAGAACAUUAGAUAGAAACAUGUGUUUGUAAGCAACUUCAUGUAAAAGCGGAUAGAACAUUAGAUAGAAACAUGUUUUCGUUAGCAACUUCAUGUAAAAUAUUUUUGCUGAUGUUACAUUCAAAAAGUUAGGAAUCACCAUAUUAUUUUAGAAUUCUCUGGUAGAAUAGUUAACUUGGGAUCCUCCUGCUAUGUAUGUAUGUAUCCAUGUAUAUGUGUGUAAUACUUUAUGUGAAUAAAAGUUGAGAGUA
Dreissena polymorpha is the source of this 1691-nucleotide long non-coding RNA. RefSeq lists it as uncharacterized. NCBI's taxonomy places the organism in Eukaryota, Metazoa, Mollusca, Bivalvia, Myida, Dreissenidae. The transcript has 3 exons. The record is from RefSeq and is a predicted model, not a curated record.